UUUUUUUUUUUUUUUUUUUUUUUUUUGUCUUUUCUAGGGCCACUCCCACAGCAUAUGGAGGUUCCCAGGCUAGGGGUCUAAUCGGAGCUGUAGCCGCCGGCCUACGCCAGAGCCACAGCAAUGCUGGAUCCAAGCUGCGUCUGUGAUCUACACCACAGAUCACUGCAACGCUGGAUCCUUAACCCCCUGAGCAACGCCAGGGACCAAACCCGCAACCUCAUGGUUCCUAGUCGGAUUCGUUAACCACUGUGCCAUGAUGGGAACUCCCCAUGCCAGUGUUCUUAAUAUGACUACUUCCUUGUCAUCUUUCUAACUGAAGUUCAGAGAUCCUCUCCCCUGGGAAUCUUUGACCACCGUACCCACAUCAAAAUCUCACCUGUAUCUGUCUUUCUCUCUUGCCCUGUGCCUACUUCUUAGAAUUAGUCUCUGUGUGAUUGUUAGCAAAUGUAGGCGCUCUUGUGUUAUUGCCCUAGUCUGAUGCUCUUUGGUAAUGACUCUUUGACAACAAUAGACCUUGUCCACACUGCCUGGACCAUAAUGCCUGCAGUAUGUUUAUGUGUUUCACCUGUACGGUCAUCCACUCCUAUCUGCAGAAAUGGAUAAAAUAACGCAUAUAAAGUGCUAAAGGCAAUGCCUGGCAUAUUGCGUAUCCCUGUUAAGAGAAUAGUUGUUGUUUGUCCUAUUGAUCUGGAGUUCUGGGUUUGGGUCCCACCACGACCACCAGCUGUGUGAGCCUGAACCAGUCAUGUCACCACUCGGUGCCUCAUGUUGGCCAUCUGUGAAGUAAGGAUAAAAAUAGCUUCCUGACCCACUUUAACAGAACAGUUCUGAGGAACAACCUAGAUAAUUAAUGUAAAAGUAUUUUUUAACUCUAAAAAAAUGGAUGACAUUCAAUCAUGAGUGGUAUCUCUAAUAUUGCAAGCAAUAUUCAUGCAAACACUAGUUCUUCAAAUAUUGUCAUUCAUCUCUUUUGCCAGUAUCACUUUCAAUGAUUUUUACCUUCCCUAAUGAGAAGACAGCACAUAAGUCAUCCAUACCUUCACGAGCAAGUUCUCAGCUUUAUUAUCCAAGGCAUCGAAAUAAUUCUGGCUUGAGUUCUAAACACACUAUCACCUCACUGGCAGUGGUGCUCUCAACUGAUGCUGUCUAUGAGUGUUUGAGUCUAUCUUUCUAUCAAAUUUUGCCCCUUUUUUGGUACUCCACAUGAUAGCCAUACUGGUUUUUGAAUGAACUAUUGAAUUUAUGAGUGAUACCAAAGGAUAGAAGCAAAAUCUUGACUGCCCAAUUGUUUAUCUACUUCCUAUUUGGCCUCAAACUUCUCCCUUGUUGUUGAUGAUGAGUGGACUUUCUCAGCUUUUGUGUGCCAGGCACUUAUCUAAGCCGUUCACAUUCAAUCCUCACAAUAACUUGGUCCAAAGAAUACCUGAGCUUGAUUCACUCUAAUGUAAGCAUCAUGGGGGCACAGAAUCUUUUUUAUGUUUUAUGAAUAACUGCGUAACCCUUGGGGACCUGAUCAGUGCCUGGCAUAUAGUAGGCACUCAAGAAAUAGUAGUUGAAUGAAGUGAUUUGCUCUUUAAACAAUUUCUUUAAUGCUUAGGACUUUGGAGUUUUCUGGAUAUUUGUAAUUUGAUUGUGAUUUCUUAUUAUUAGUGGUAGUGACUUAUUAUUCUAUUAUUGAAAUAAUUAACUCACUUACAUGAAACUCUAUGGUUUAUGAAAUGCUUUCACAUUAAUUUAAAGCAACCAAUGACAUGUUAUUACUAGAAAUGCUAAAAUACAACAACUCUUCCUAAUGGAAAAUAAAAUACUGCUAUUUUUAGAAAACUGCUAUAGUUUAGUUCUUCAGUGAACAGUGAGCACUUCAACUAACUUAAAUUAUGAAUAAUUAGGGCUUAAAAUAAUAGGUUAUCAUACAUCGGAAUUUUUUUAUUAAAGGAAGAAAAUACUAGAAAAUACUUUCCCGGUCAGCUUAGAAACAGGGACUUCUCACACGGAAAUUUACUCAAAAAAAUAUAUACAUUGAAAAACGUAUAAAGGUAGCUGCAAGACUGAUUCUUAUAAUGUUUGUGGCUCUAAGAAAAGAAUCACAAAAUAUUUUAAAUGAAUGAAUGAGAUUUCCUAGUCUGUAAUUAAAAUUAGAGCUGAUAAGAUCUAAAAGAAGCUUCACUUGUUAAGAACCAUGAGGAUUUGCAAUAAACAAUGACAGGAGACAGUAAGGCCACAGUUGACUCAGGUCCUUCUAACCAAUGAGAACAGAGUUCGCAUAAGAUUCAGCACUGCGGCGCUAGAAUAGAUGACAUUUUACAGAAUUCUUACAGUGUGUCUUUAAAUGACAUCUUUAAGUAUUAUGAGUUUUAAAAAUCUACCAAAAUAUUUUAAAUAUAUUUUUAACUUUAAUAUAUUAAAAUAUAUUAAAGGCCAAACAAAAUUUAAUAACCAGAACACCAUUAUCUUUUGUAUUGAAACAUUGACAUCUGUCCUUGUCACUGGAUUUUAGUGGAUGAAGGGAAACAUUUCUCUAAGCUCCCAGACAAACAUGACUGGUCCAUUUGUCAUUCCAAUGUCUUCAGCACUUGAAGUAUUUCAAUUUUUGUUCAACAAUGUAACCUUUGGAGUCUUGCCUAAUAAUGACUUCACUUGGGCUGGGCUUCCAACAGAUAAAUGAAAAUGGAAAUGCAUAUUUUCUAAUUAUGCGUCCAGCCCUAGUUGCCCACUGGCAAGAGUGGCCACACGGAAUGUUAAAUUAAGUCUGCACAAAAGCUAGCAUCUAUGUAGCAUCGAAGUUUCCCAAAGUCACUUUCUUAAUCGUGUGAAGGAUAGCCAAGACUCUGAUCAGUAGUAUGUAGCUAUAUACAAUCAGAGGGAAAACAUUUAAACAUCCCAGCAUGGUAUUUCCAUUUAAAUCUGAUUACAGUGAAAUAAAACCGUAGCCAUUAAAGGUUUAGAAGAACUACAAAUACAAGCCGUAAAAGAAGACAGAUAGUAAAUGAGGUAGUAAAACAUUUCAGCGGGGCAAACAGUUUACAGCACUCAUUCAACUCUUCCUGAAGCAGGCUGUGCAAUUCACUACAGACCCUGAACCAUUCCCUGAGCUCCACUUAAACCUGCAAUUAACCUUUCACGCCUAAUGAAGCUGUUUUCUUGGGAAAUUAAAAUAUAUAGUGAUGCCUGCUCUUACACAGACUUGGGAGGAGAGCCUUCCAAAAUGAAUGACUUUUCCGAGGCUUCGUUCAAAUGUAAAAUGGAAGUGCUGUGUUUGUAUAUAAAGUGAGAAUGUUCUUUCCAAGGCAAUUUCAUUUGAUGUGCAGUAUUUUAUUACUGUACUUAUUAAUUGUUCUG
RNAcentral lists this long non-coding RNA (3339 nucleotides) under Sus scrofa (pig). RNAcentral's name for it is "lncRNA (ENSSSCG00065066943.1)". The record is from RNAcentral. Lineage: Eukaryota; Metazoa; Chordata; Mammalia; Artiodactyla; Suidae.